RNAcentral lists this ribosomal RNA (253 nucleotides) under uncultured bacterium. Its description in RNAcentral is "partial 16S ribosomal RNA". It matches the Rfam family "Bacterial small subunit ribosomal RNA", at positions 524 to 776 of the family's 1533-position model. The record is from RNAcentral.
UACGUAGGGACCAAGCGUUGUCCGGAAUUACUGGGCGUAAAGGGCUCGUAGGCGGCCAACUAAGUCAGACGUGAAAUCCCUCGGCUUAACCGGGGAACUGCGUCUGAUACUGGAUGGCUGGAGUUUGGGAGAGGGAUGCGGAAUUCCAGGUGUAGCGGUGAAAUGCGUAGAUAUCUGGAGGAACACCGGUGGCGAAGGCGGCAUCCUGGACCAAUACUGACGCUGAGGAGCGAAAGCCAGGGGAGCAAACGGG